GCCCAAUGUGGGGAGUUUGCAGAACCAACCGCCUUGAGCGGGCGAUGGCGCGAGCCGUGUGAGUUCGAGUCUCACCGUCGGCACCA
RNAcentral lists this transfer RNA (86 nucleotides) under Rhodocyclaceae bacterium. RNAcentral's name for it is "tRNA-Leu". Lineage: Bacteria; Pseudomonadati; Pseudomonadota; Betaproteobacteria; Rhodocyclales; Rhodocyclaceae. The record is from RNAcentral.